This 460-nucleotide ribosomal RNA is filed under the name uncultured bacterium. RNAcentral describes it as "partial 16S ribosomal RNA". It matches the Rfam family "Bacterial small subunit ribosomal RNA", at positions 338 to 795 of the family's 1533-position model. The record is from RNAcentral.
CCUACGGGUGGCAGCAGUGAGGAAUAUUGGUCAAUGGCCGGAAGGCUGAACCAGCCAAGCCGCGUGAAGGACGAAGGUGCCAAGCAUUGUAAACUUCUUUUGUCAAGGGACAAAAUCAGGCUCGAGUGCCUGAUUGAGGGUACUUGAAGAAUAAGCAUCGGCUAACUACGUGCCAGCAGCCGCGGUAAUACGGAGGUGGCAAGCGUUGUCCGGAUUUACUGGGUUUAAAGGGCGUGUAGGCGGGCUGACAAGUCAGAUGUGAAAUUCGGUGGCUCAACCCUCGAACUGCAGUUGAAACUGUUGGUCUUGAGUAUGGGUGAGGCAGGCGGAAUGCGUGGUGUAGCGGUGAAAUGCGUAGAUAUUAGGAAGAACACCGGUGGCGAAGGCGGCCUGCUAGACGACGACUGACGGUGAGGCGCGAAAGCGUGGGGAGCAAACAGGAUUAGAUACCCCUGUAGUC